AUCUGCUAAGGCAAAUUGUAAUUAAAUUUUUUGAAGAAAAAUUUUACGGUCGUUGUGCGGGCGAAGCGGUUCAGGUCCUGCGCAACGAGUACAUGUGAACCGGGUCAGGCCGUGACAGGAGCAGCCCUAAGCGUGGAGUCUUGUGUGCCGCAGGGAAACCUGAAAGCGCUUCGUCCGCACAACGACCGUAAAAAAACAGGU
This 201-nucleotide signal recognition particle RNA is filed under the name Nitrospirae bacterium CG2_30_53_67. Its description in RNAcentral is "signal recognition particle sRNA large type". It matches the Rfam family "Bacterial large signal recognition particle RNA". Rfam says of the family: The signal recognition particle (SRP) is a universally conserved ribonucleoprotein involved in the co-translational targeting of proteins to membranes. Archaeal SRP consists of a 7S RNA and homologues of the eukaryotic SRP19 and SRP54 proteins. In most bacteria, the SRP consists of a 4.5S RNA and the Ffh protein (a homologue of the eukaryotic SRP54 protein). RNAcentral also lists the same sequence under 5 other names. The record is from RNAcentral. Lineage: Bacteria; Pseudomonadati; Nitrospirota.